This 459-nucleotide ribosomal RNA is filed under the name uncultured bacterium. RNAcentral's name for it is "partial 16S ribosomal RNA". It matches the Rfam family "Bacterial small subunit ribosomal RNA", at positions 339 to 795 of the family's 1533-position model. The record is from RNAcentral.
CUACGGGCCGCAGCAGUAAGGAAUAUUGCGCAAUGGAGGCAACUCUGACGCAGCCAUGCCGCGUGCAGGAAGAAGGCCUUAUGGGUCGUAAACUGCUUUUAUUUAGGAAUAAACCCCCGAACGUGUUCGGGGCUGAAGGUACUAAACGAAUAAGCACCGGCUAACUCCGUGCCAGCAGCCGCGGGAAUACGGAGGGUGCAAGCGUUAUCCGGAUUUAUUGGGUUUAAAGGGUGCGCAGGCGGGCUAUUAAGUCAGUGGUGAAAUCCCGGGGCUCAACUCCGGAACUGCCAUUGAUACUGAUAGUCUUGAGUUUGGUUGAAGUGGGCGGAAUGUAGCAUGUAGCGGUGAAAUGCAUAGAUAUGCUACAGAACACCAAUCGCGAAGGCAGCUCACUAAGCCAAAACUGACGCUCAUGCACGAAAGCGUGGGGAUCAAACAGGAUUAGAUACCCCAGUAGUC